This is a long non-coding RNA of Acinonyx jubatus (cheetah), 2762 nucleotides long. RefSeq lists it as uncharacterized. Lineage: Eukaryota; Metazoa; Chordata; Mammalia; Carnivora; Felidae. The transcript has 2 exons. The record is from RefSeq and is a predicted model, not a curated record.
ACACUUGGGAACCAUUUUGGGUUUUUUUGUUUUUUUGUUUUUUAAUUUUUUUUUUAACAUUUAUUUAUUUUUGAGACAGAGAGAGACAGAGCAUGAACGGGGGAGGGGCAGAGAGAGAGGGAGACACAGAAUCGGAAGCAGGCUCCAGGCUCUGAGCCAUCAGCCCAGAGCCCAAUGCGGGGCUUGAACUGACGGACCGCGAGAUUGUGACCUGAGCCAAAGUCGGAUGCUCAACCAACUGAGCCACCCAGGAGCCCCUUGGAGACCAUUUUGAAACAGUGAAAGUACCAACAAAAAAACAAAAUGUGAAAGAUAUGGUACUAAAUAGAUUGUGAAAAGGCCACUUAUUUAUGGUAGGAGAGCUGAAACAACAAGGCAGAGCAUCACCUUCUUGGACCUCAGCUGCGAGUAUGUAACACCUCAGGCAACUUGAACUUUUCACUGCCCUGCACUUUGCUGUGCAAGAUCGCGAAAGCCCCCAGACAUUGAUUUUGGGGUUACAAGUACAUUUUAGAAAAUAGGCAAAUUCGAAAUAUGGACUCUGUGUAUAAAUACUAAGGCUCAACCAUGUAUAUGUUGCCUCUCAUUUAUUUUUAGACACUAUCAUGGGGUGCCUGACCAGCUCUAUUGGUAGAACAUGCGACUCUUGAUCUUGGAGUUGUGAGUUCGAGCCCAGUGUUGGGUGUAGAAAUUACUUAAAAAUAAACACUACUGGGGACGCCUGGGUGGCUCAGUCAGUUAAGUAUCUGACUUGGUUUUGGCUCAGGUCAUGAUCUCACAGUUUGUGGGUUCGAGCCCCACAUCAGGCCCUGCUUGGGAUUCUCUCUCUUUCUCUCUCUGCUCCUCCCACGUGCUCUUUCCCUCUCUCUCUCUUUCUCAAAAUAAAUAUAUAAUCUUUAAAAAUAAAUAAAUAAGGGACACCUAUGUGGCUCAGUUGGUUAAGCAUCCGACUUCAGCUCAGGUCAUGAUCUCACUGUUUGUGAGUUUGAGCCCUAGGUCAGGCUCUAUGCUGACAGCUCAGGGCCUGGAGCCUGCUUUGGAUUCUGUGUCUCCCUCUCUCUCUGCCCCUCCCCCACUCAUGCUCUCUGUCUCUCUCUCUCUGUCUCUCAAAAAAAUAAAACAUUAAAAAUAAUCAAAGUAAAUAAAUAAAUGCUACUGAUAGCACACUAUACCCUGUCAAAUUGUAUAACACCUUGACUUUUUCCCUUAAAAAUACAUCUGAAGGCCCUGCUGUUACUAAUUUAUGGGACUCUGCAGCUGCAUAGUGCCAUGUUUAUUUAACCAGCCUCCCCUGAUAGAUACGAAGGUGUCAGUCUUCUACUCUUAUAAUCAAUACUGCUGUGAAUAACCUGGGUAGGGCACAUCUGCAAGUCUAGCUGGGGGAUAAUCCUUAGAUAAAUUCUUUUUUUUUUUCUUUUUUUUAAUGUUUGCUUAUUUUUGAGAGAGAGAGUGUGUGUGAGCAGCAGAAGGGCAGAGAGAGAGGGAGACAUAGAAUCCGAAGCAUGAUCCAGGCUCUGAGCUGUCAGCACAGGGUCCAACGCGGGCCUCGAACCCACGAGCUGUGAGAUUGGAUGCUUAACUGACUGAGCCACCCAGGCACCCCCUUAGAUAAAUUCUUUCUAGUAAAUGGGCCCGUGCAUUGAUGAUGGGAGUAGUUGUUCCACAUUUCCCUCAGUGUAGAGGGUUUACAUUCCGAUCUCAGAGGUGGCAUUCACCUUACCUCCUUGCCAACCUGGUACAUCCUCAAACAAUUUUUGCCAAUCUGAUAAACAACAAAGUGUACCUUGGUUGGUUUUGUUUGCAUUUCUGUUCUGAGUGAGGUUGAGCAUCUUUUCAUAUUGUAUUCCAUUUUCUGUGAACCAGGCACUGUCUGCUCACGCAAGGGGGCUUCUAAAACGUGUUUGUAAGCACAGAAAUCUUUGCUCUCCAGCUAGGGAGUGUAACCUUUUGGGUCAGAGCAUGAGCCUUGGGAUAGGAGACCCCAGAGUCCAAACCCCUCUUCUGCCCUUUCCUGGCUUGGUGGCUUUCCACUAAUUUUCUGCUUCUCUGAGCCUCAGUUUCCUCAUUUGUAAGAUGAGUGUUGUAAGACUUUUCUUCAUCCUGUUGCUCUGAAAGUUAAAUGGGAUGCUUUGUGUAAUGUCCCUAACAUGUGCCCAGCCCAUGAUAAGCACUCACGAAUGGUAGUAUUGGUGUUGGUCAGAAUUGGUUGAAAAUUGGUCCAGGCAACAAAGAGGGCACCUACUGGUUCCUGUAGCUGAUAAGUUCUGGGAGUGUGCUCUCUUCCAGCAUGCUUGGGUGAGGGUGCCCAGAUGGUGGCAUCAGGACUGUCUCUGUCUCCUUGGGGUGGCUUCUCCCUUAGGAAGGUUCCCACAGGUGGAACCUGCGUGAGGUCAGUUGUUCCAGGCUGUGUCCUUACAGCUUAGCAACUCCCCUAACUCCCUUCCCCUCGGUAGUUCCAGCAACAGUCCAGGCCCGUUUGCAUUCUCCUAAGCCAGUCGCCAUGAAUCCAAGUGACUAUGUCUGUCAGACACUUGUCCUAGUCUCUGUGGAUCGGACAGGGCAAGAGAAGAGAGUGAUUUUCUGAAGGAAAGCAAGCAUUUUUGGUGCCAGAAGACAGACUAGAUGCUGGGUGGGCAAAAACAACAGAUGUCCAUCAUGAAAUAAUAGUACUAACUCCUACCAUCACCCACUCCCACUGCCACCUGCCAAGUCGGCUGCCAGCCUGCCCCGGGCUUGCUUUCACUUUCACACCCACCCCCUCA